AGAGACAGCAGCAGCCGCGGUAAUACGAAGGGUGCAAGCGUUAAUCGGAAUUACUGGGCGUAAAGCGUGCGUAGGCGGUGAGUUAAGUCUGCUGUGAAAUCCCCGGGCUCAACCUGGGAAUGGCAGUGGAUACUGGCUCGCUAGAGUGUGUCAGAGGAUGGUGGAAUUCCCGGUGUAGCGGUGAAAUGCGUAGAGAUCGGGAGGAACAUCAGUGGCGAAGGCGGCCAUCUGGGACAACACUGAUGCUGAGGCACGAAAGCGUGGGGAGCAAACAGGAUUAGAUACCCGUGUAGUCCCUGUCUCUUAUAA
RNAcentral lists this ribosomal RNA (309 nucleotides) under uncultured bacterium. Its description in RNAcentral is "partial 16S ribosomal RNA". It matches the Rfam family "Bacterial small subunit ribosomal RNA", at positions 504 to 809 of the family's 1533-position model. The record is from RNAcentral.